Molecule: non-coding RNA, 255 nt
Organism: Vicia faba (fava bean)
Lineage: Eukaryota; Viridiplantae; Streptophyta; Magnoliopsida; Fabales; Fabaceae
Source: the annotation of a GenBank genome assembly
AUGCGAAAAGAUGUGAGAAAAUGGAAAUUGAAACUCACCAGUCAGAGUUUGUCUGACGCGUCUUCUACGGUGGCGAUUAGAAGCGGAAAACUAGAGAUGUUAGCUUCUAGGGCAACAACUAUUAACUUAGUUAUUCGUUUUGGACAAGUUUAUGAAUGGUUAACUGGGGACAUGGCUAUACUCGUGAUGAUGAUGAAGCGUGAUGCAAAGAAGAAAGGUUACUUGGUAAAAAUAUUGAGGGCAUGGCUAAGGUAG